This 492-nucleotide ribosomal RNA is filed under the name uncultured bacterium. RNAcentral describes it as "partial 16S ribosomal RNA". It matches the Rfam family "Bacterial small subunit ribosomal RNA", at positions 29 to 507 of the family's 1533-position model. The record is from RNAcentral.
AGUGAACGCUGGCGGUAGGCCUAACACAUGCAAGUCGAACGGCAGCACAGUAAGAGCUUGCUCUUACCGGUGGCGAGUGGCGGACGGGUGAGGAAUACAUCGGAAUCUACUUUUUCGUGGGGGAUAACGUAGGAAAACUUACGCUAAUACCGCAUACGACCUACGGGUGAAAGCAUGGGAUCUUCUGACCUUGCGCGAUUGAAUGAGCCGAUGUCGUAUUAGCUAGUUGGCUGGUUAAAGGCCCACCAGGGCGACGAUCCGUAGCUGGUCGGAGAGAAUGAUCGGCCACCCUGGAACUGGGCCACGGUCCAGACUCCUGAGGGAGGGAGCAGUGGCGAAUGUGGGACAAUGGGGGGAAGUAUGAUACAGCGAUACCGCGUGGGUGACGGCGGCCUUCCGGUUGUAAAGCCCUUUUGUUGGUAAAGAAACGCAGUAGCUUGAUACCCCGCUGUUCUGACGGUACUGAAAGAAUAAGCACCGGCUAACUUCGUG